AUCAGAGUGCGUAGCGGAAGCAUGGUGGGCUCAUAACCCACAGGUCCCAGGAUCGAAACCUGGCUUUGCUA
RNAcentral lists this transfer RNA (71 nucleotides) under Triticum urartu. It matches the Rfam family "tRNA". Rfam says of the family: Transfer RNA (tRNA) molecules are approximately 80 nucleotides in length. Their secondary structure includes four short double-helical elements and three loops (D, anti-codon, and T loops). The record is from Rfam by way of RNAcentral. Lineage: Eukaryota; Viridiplantae; Streptophyta; Magnoliopsida; Poales; Poaceae.